Molecule: long non-coding RNA, 1485 nt
Filed under: Ursus thibetanus thibetanus
Lineage: Eukaryota; Metazoa; Chordata; Mammalia; Carnivora; Ursidae
Description: lncRNA (ENSUTTG00000007131.1)
Source: RNAcentral
AUGCUGUUACUGGAAAUGAGAGGGUUUCUUCAAAGGCAAUAUCCUGGUGUGCCCUUUACAAUCUGUGUAAAAAAUUCUGGUAACCUGGGAUGUUUUCUUAAAGAACUCCUGACAGAUAGCGAAGUCAUCCAUUGUAAUUACGACUCCAUGCUGGAUGUUAUAAGUUACCGGUAGCAUUGACUAAUUCCACUUACCUACGAACCAAGUUUUAAGUGCAUGUGCCACUCUCCAAGCCAGUGGGUAGCAAAGGACAGCCUGCAGGCCGAAUGCUGGCAGUUUUAUAAAUAAAGUUUUAUUAGGACUCCCUUCAUUAGUUUAUAUAUUCCAAGACUGCUUUUAUGCUACAGUGACAGAGUUGAGUAGUUGAGACAGAGACUGGCCCAGAAAGCCUAAAAUAGAGAAAAAGCUAACCUACUCCUGAUCCAGGUUAAUUAGUCAUUCUCAGCUAAACUGGUUUAUUUCCACAAAGAGGUGAAUUCCAACAAUAUCUUUCUUUUUUGAAAUGCAAACAUGGAAAAAAAUGUAAAAUAAUCAGGUUACUAAGCAAAUGCUCAAUAAUUUCUGAACUAUUUUAAUGUUGUCGGUCAAUGCCUCACGGCUGACAUUGUUCACCCUGGACAAGGGCGGUUCUAGGCAGCCGUGGAGACUACAUAAGCAUCUCCCAAGAACACCAACGAUGAGACCUUCUAACCACAGCGCCCCAGAGGGUGCACGCUAUCACUCUGUCUCGAUAUUAAAGUAAGAUAAGAGGCAGAGAAUACCCUAAAAAGUACUUGUUCUAUUCAGAGUAAGACAUAAUAGAUGUGGUGUUAGACCCACGGUUUGGGAAAAUUACAAGCCCUAAGGAAUAGCUGCUAAUUAAUAGACUGUAAUGUUAUUAAGGAAAGCUAAAGUGUACACUUUUAAAGAAAACAAAACAGAAACGUUAUUUGGAACUACUCAUGUUAUAUUUGGGUUAUAGCUAUAAAAUAUUAAGAAAAGGAAAUACAACAUAAUUCCUUCCUAAAUGUGGCACCAGAAGGUAGAAUUAACACAUAAUAUUUUUAUACUUGAUGAUACAUUUCAAGUAUUUACUUGUUGGAUAUACUUACAAUGUUUGAGGUACAUGAUCUGACCCAUGCUAACCCAAGUGCAUGAAAUAACUAUUUAAAUGCUGUGUGAGUUCUAACAUAGUUGUGUGUUGGACACACAUAUUGAAUAGGCCCAUUGAGUGGGAUUUCACCGAAACUCAACUUUAUUUUUGUCUCCCCAAUGCCCUUUGAAACUGUUCAGUGAAUGAAGCUUUGCCCCUGCACUAGAUAAAAACUCAGCAGGUCUCCUUUCUCUUCAUUCUAAGGUGAUAGACACUGCCAUAGUCACUUUAACAAAAUCCAAUCAGAUUUCGAAUUAAUUAGAGUCCAGGUCGGGACAUUAACCAAUACUUCAGUCUCCGCUCAAACUUCCACAUGUACCUUAUGUCCACAGAGUCCCUACUAAGGACAGGUA